GCGCUGUGUCCCCCCCGCCGCCCCCGCGCCCCCCUCAUGCAGCGCCGCGACGACCCCGCGGGCCGCCCGUCCCGGGGGAAAAGCCUCGCUGGCCGCGCCGUGCCGUCGCGCCGCCAGUGCCUCUGCACAGGGGCCCGCGGGGCCGCCAGCGGGGCCGCCAGCGGGGCCACCAGCGGGGCCGCCAGUGGGGCGCGGCCGCCUCCCCCCGCGGCCGGCGGCGGCGGUGCCUCGGGGGGCUCUGGCGGCGGCGCGCCCGCCCCGCCGCCGUCCGGAGCCGCCGGGAAGAUGGAACCCGAGAACAGGUACCUGCCCGAGCUGAUGGCGGAGAAGGACAGCCUGGACCCGUCCUUCACGCACGCCAUGCAGCUCCUCACCGCAGAAAUUGAAAAAAUUCAGAAGGGUGAAACAACAAAGAAGGAGGAGGAAGAAAACUACCUGGAUUUAUUUUCCCACAAGAAUAUGAAACUGAAAGAACGAGUUCUGAUACCUGUCAAACAGUACCCCAAGUUCAACUUUGUUGGAAAGAUUUUGGGACCUCAAGGCAACACCAUUAAGAGACUUCAGGAAGAAACUGGUGCUAAGAUUUCUGUGCUGGGGAAGGGCUCAAUGAGAGACAAAGCCAGGGAGGAGGAGCUGCGCAAGGGGGGAGACCCGAAAUAUGCUCAUCUAAACAUGGAUUUGCACGUCUUCAUCGAGGUUUUUGGGCCCCCCUGCGAGGCCUAUGCCCUGAUGGCUCAUGCCAUGGAGGAGGUCAAGAAAUUCCUUGUUCCAGAUAUGAUGGAUGAUAUCUGCCAGGAGCAGUUCCUGGAGCUGUCCUACCUGAACGGUGUCCCAGAGCCGAACCGCGGCCGAGGAGGCCCCGGGCGGGGAAGGGGAGCAGCUCCACCACCACCUCCACCCGUUCCAAGGGGCCGUGGGGUUGGUCCCCCUCCUCCUCCUCCUCGGGGGGCCCUGGUGCGAGGGGCCCCAGUGCGGGGGGGCAUCGCUCGGGGGGCCACCAUAGCCCGGGGGGUGCCCCCUCCUCCGGCAGUCCGGGGGGCUCCUGCCCCCCGAGCACGGGCAGCUGGCAUCCAGAGGAUACCCCUUCCUCCUCCUCCUGCGCCAGAAGCCUACGAGGAAUAUGGCUACGACGACACGUACGCAGACCAGAGCUACGAGGGCUAUGAGGGCUACUACAGCCAGGGCCAAGGGGACACAGAAUACUAUGAUUAUGGACACGGGGAGGCACAGGAAACCUAUGAAGCUUAUGCCAGGUCCUAUGUCCAGGUUUGGAAUGGCAGCUGCACGUGGCAAUCAAUGAGGCAAGAUGACUGGAAUGGGAGCCGGCCCUCCCUGAAGGCCCCGCCGGCCAGGCCAGUGAAGGGGGCCUACCGAGACCACCCCUACGGACGCUACUAAAAAACACAAAACAUGAGGGAAAAACCCCACUUUUGAGCAAAACAGUUGUUACUGAUUCUUGUAUCUCCCGGGAUUCCCGUUGCUUUGCCCACACCAGACAAGAGCGGAGAGUUCUCGGAGCCGGGGGGUGAGGAGGAGCAGGGGCAGCGCCCACGGGGGAGGGAUGAGUCUCCAGGGAGCUGCUUUCAGAGCUGAUCAAGGAGCACAGUUAAGACACUUCCCUGGGAAAUAGGAACCUGCCAGAUCUUGGGGAGUGUUGGAGAACACUGGAGCCUCCCUUGGAUCCCACGAGAGCAGCAGCUGUGUGUUGGAACACUGAAAUAUAAAGUGUUUUCUGCUGAAGCUGUUACUUUUACCACUGAAUUUGGAACUAGGUAUGACCAAAAAGCUUCAAUACGUCGUGUUGUAGUUGCAAACCUGAUAUAUUUUAACCUGAAAAUGUUUUUAACCUGAUGUUGGUACGUCCUGUUACCUUUAUAGUUGUUCCUGGAAGACUCUGUUAAACCACAGAUGUCUGGAUACUCCUGGGUUUUGAUGGCUUUGCACAUUGAGGUUGGGAAGGACCUCCAAGACCAUCGAGUCCAACCUGUGACCACCUCGUCACCCAGCCCAGAGCACUGAGUGCCACGUCCAGUCAUUCCUUGGACAGCUCCAGGGAUGGGAACUGCACCACCUCCCUGGGCAGCCCCUUCCAAAGCCAGUAAAGAACUAAACCCUGGGCCUGUGGAAGUCCAUUAAUUUCAGAGAUUUUUGCCUCCAGCUGGUUCUCAGUGUUGUAAAAUGCUCCAUCUGUGCCGAAGCACCAACGCCCACAAGUGGAGGAGAUCAUUGAGAAAAAAAACGCUGUGAGCGGGUGAUAAAGAUGCUGAAAAAUGAUCAAGGUGAAUCACAGCACGAAAAUAGCUUGGAUGGGAGCCUGGUGAGCUCCUGCACCAAUAAGUUGGAUGGCAGCCUGGCAAGCUCCUCCACCGAGGAGCACUGGGCUUUCUGCUCCAGCUAUUCCACGAUCCUACAACUCUUGUGUUUGGAAGUGAUCCCUCAUUCCGUGUAAUAAAGUCCUGACGAUGAAUA
This is an RNA transcript of Pipra filicauda (Wire-tailed manakin), 2469 nucleotides long. It is a transcript of the gene named KH RNA binding domain containing, signal transduction associated 1, with no coding region annotated. The transcript is spliced from 12 exons. Lineage: Eukaryota; Metazoa; Chordata; Aves; Passeriformes; Pipridae. The record is from RefSeq and is a predicted model, not a curated record.